GAUGGCGGUGUUACCACCCUGUAGCCUGAUCCUGGUGGGUCUCAGAAGUGAAACGAGGCUCGAUCUGGUCCGUACUGGGGUGGGAGACCUCUAAGGAAAACCAGGUUGCUGCUGCAA
This 117-nucleotide ribosomal RNA is filed under the name Lepisosteus oculatus (spotted gar). Lineage: Eukaryota; Metazoa; Chordata; Actinopteri; Semionotiformes; Lepisosteidae. The record is from RNAcentral.